AGACCCGAAACCCGGUGAUCUAGCCAUGGGCAGGUUGAAGGUUGGGUAACACUAACUGGAGGACCGAACCGACUAAUGUUGAAAAAUUAGCGGAUGACCUGUGGCUGGGGGUGAAAGGCCAAUCAAACCGGGAGAUAGCUGGUUCUCCCCGAAAGCUAUUUAGGUAGCGCCUCGUGAAUUCAUCUCCGGGGGUAGAGCACUGUUUCGGCUAGGGGGCCAUCCCGGCUUACCAACCCGAUGCAAACUGCGAAUACCGGAGAAUGUUAUCACGGGAGACACACGGCGGGUGCUAACGUCCGUCGUGAAGAGGGAAACAACCCAGACCGCCAGCUAAGGUCCCAAAGUCAUGGUUAAGUGGGAAACGAUGUGGGAAGGCCCAGACAGCCAGGAUGUUGGCUUAGAAGCAGCCAUCAUUUAAAGAAAGCGUAAUAGCUCACUGGUCGAGUCGGCCUGCGCGGAAGAUGUAACGGGGCUAAACCAUGCACCGAAGCUGCGGCAGCGACACUGUGUGUUGUUGGGUAGGGGAGCG
Molecule: ribosomal RNA, 529 nt
Filed under: Salmonella enterica
Lineage: Bacteria; Pseudomonadati; Pseudomonadota; Gammaproteobacteria; Enterobacterales; Enterobacteriaceae
Also listed under: 7 other names
Description: partial 23S ribosomal RNA
Rfam family: Bacterial large subunit ribosomal RNA
Source: RNAcentral